RNAcentral lists this ribosomal RNA (494 nucleotides) under uncultured bacterium. RNAcentral describes it as "partial 16S ribosomal RNA". It matches the Rfam family "Bacterial small subunit ribosomal RNA", at positions 28 to 507 of the family's 1533-position model. The record is from RNAcentral.
GACGAACGCUGGCGGCGUGCUUAACACAUGCAAGUCGAACGGUGAAGCGCCUUCCUUUUUGGUGGGUGUGGAUGAGUGGCGAACGGGUGAGUAACACGUGAGUAACCUGCCCCCUUCUUCUGGAUAACCGCAUGAAAGUGUGGCUAAUACGGGAUAUUCUGGGUCUGUCGCAUGAUGGGUCUGGGAAAGAUAUUGUUUCGGUGGGGGAUGGGCUCGCGGCCUAUCAGCUUGUUGGUGGGGUGAUGGCCUACCAAGGCGGUGACGGGUAGCCGGCCUGAGAGGGUAGACGGUCACACUGGGACUGAGACACGGCCCAGACUCCUACGGGAGGCAGCAGUGGGGAAUAUUGCACAAUGGGCGCAGGUGUGAUGCAGCGACGCCGCGUGAGGGAUGGAGGCCUUCGGGUUGUGAACCUCUUUCGCCAGUGAAGCAGGCCUGCCUCGUUUGUGGGUGGGUUGACGGUAGCUGGAUAAGAAGCGCCGGCUAACUACGUG